RNAcentral lists this ribosomal RNA (105 nucleotides) under Bacillus sp. NRRL B-14911. RNAcentral describes it as "partial 16S ribosomal RNA". It matches the Rfam family "Bacterial small subunit ribosomal RNA", at positions 1 to 102 of the family's 1533-position model. Lineage: Bacteria; Bacillati; Bacillota; Bacilli; Caryophanales; Bacillaceae. The record is from RNAcentral.
UAUAUGGAGAGUUUGAUCCUGGCUCAGGACGAACGCUGGCGGCGUGCCUAAUACAUGCAAGUCGAGCGGACGGAUGGGAGCUUGCUCCCUGAAGUCAGCGGCGGA